Molecule: long non-coding RNA, 1955 nt
Filed under: Olea europaea subsp. europaea
Lineage: Eukaryota; Viridiplantae; Streptophyta; Magnoliopsida; Lamiales; Oleaceae
Source: RNAcentral
GUUUUUCUUAAAUUCAUAUCUUUUAUAAUCUAAAGUUUAUUUGAAAUUUAUUUAUUUUAAUAAGAAAAAUGUGAUAUGAGUAGUAAAAAUUUGUGGAUAAACAUUUAAGGAGGGAAUUUCUCGAAUUCUAUAAAAUAUAGUUGUGUCAUGGUGCACCAUAAAUUUUGAUGUUUCAACAUGAUGAGAUUUUUCAUAUUGGUCAAAUCUUUUAUAUUUUUUCCUUAUCUUGAUCUCCUGUCUUUUCCUUAGUGAUAUGAGCUCUUUCAUUGUUAAACAUGUGACUUUGGUGAGCAAAAAGAUCAUUGAUUUUCAUAGAAAAUCAUUUAUAUUUUUUUAAGUUUCUCAUUCAAAUGCCAGAUCGAAAAUUUUAAAAGCUUAUACAAAACCCUUUUUGGUCUUGCAUUCUUUGUAAAAAUUCACUAUAUUCUUCGGAAGAUUAAGAUUUGUAGCUUUGAAGAAAGUUCAACAGCUUCAAAUCAAAAAGGUGAGUCAUGCUUGUUGAACCAAUCCAAGAAGUGGUUAUACACAAUAUUGUCAAUGUUUAAGAGAGUGUCCUUCUUUGUCUAAGUACAAAUGUAUCUGAAAUCUUUUAACUUGGUAGAUUAUUCAAUAGUUGAAUAUGGCCCUGCCGAUAUGGGCAGUUGCCAAUCUACAUCAAUCGUAUUAUUUACACUUUUUGCUUAUGAAUCUAGCAUUAAUUAGUUUCAGUAUAAUUGCAAAAAGGGUCUAAAACUUGGUACGAGAGCAAAUUUCGGACAUCUAUUUAGUCAUAUUAUUGUGUUUAAUCGAUUUGUUUUAACAGGCAUGCAUUCUACAAGAACAGGGAUCAUUUACUUGUCCGCUACUAGAUGGGCCGAACUAUGGUGUUAUAGUUUGACCCAAAAUUUUAAUCGAUAUUGGAAUUUUGGUUGAAGUGGUUUUGAAUAAAUCAAAAUUAUGGAUCAGGAACAAAAGUUGUCGCAUUUUCGUUAGCCUACUAGUUGAUUGCUCGAGCGAUGCCUGCAUAUUUUCUACUGAGACUUGUCACUCGCUUGGCACUCGAGCAGUGGAGCUAUCGCCCACCUAACACUAGCCUAUCGCUUAAGCGAUAGGGUCAUCCGGUCAAGCCCAUUUCGCCUUUGAUGUGUUCUUUGGACUCAUAUUCUUUCAUCUACUACUUGAUUUGUAGAAAUUAUAUAUAUAAGUCAUGGCUUGUAUUGUUUCAAGAACAUUCAAUGACAUCUUGAGAGCUAGGAAGCUUAAAUUUCAAUUGAGAAUAUCGAGGUCUUGAUAUUGUAAACACAAUUACUAUUGAUUAUAGUGAAUUUUUCCUCGUAUGCAUGUGAUUUUUUCCCAGCUUGAGUUUUCACAUAAAUCUUAGUAUUCUUAGUUUGUUCUUAUUUAUUUCAUUAUUAUCAUUAUCUUGUGAUCAAUUCAUAAUAAGUGAUAUUAGAGCGAGAUUGAUUAUUUCGCAUGACAACGAUGAAAUGUGAUAUUCUAUUAUUGAAUCAAAACUUGAGAUUUACUUUAUGGCAAGUAAACAAGCGAGCAAUCUCGCACAGAUGGAUUUGGAGAAAGCUUUGCUUGGCUUUGAUAAGUAGUCUUCAAUUUAGACGCAAAAUGAAAAGCAACGUAGGGAUCAGAAAGCCCAAUUUUAAAUUCAUUUACAUUUAUCAAAUCAAAUUCUUCAUGAUGUUCUAAAGAAGAAAGAUGUCGCUGUGUUGUGGUCCAAAUUGGAGCAACUUUGUCUAACAAAGAGCUUGACCAGCAACUUACACUUGAAACAGCGCAUGUAUUCUCACCGGAUGUCCGAAGGUAUGCCAUUGAAUAAUCACUUAACUGUGUCCAAAGAAAUCGUGGCCAAUUUGGAGACAUUGAAAAUUAAGUAUGAUGAGAAGGACUUAAUGUUGAUGUUGUUGUAUUUACUGCCGCCAUCAUAUGUGAUUUUUUAGAGGUACUAUUCUCUAUAGUUCUCU